Molecule: long non-coding RNA, 3274 nt
Filed under: Solanum tuberosum (potato)
Lineage: Eukaryota; Viridiplantae; Streptophyta; Magnoliopsida; Solanales; Solanaceae
Description: long non-coding RNA (STUB_LNC005121)
Source: RNAcentral
UUCAGGUGCUAGCACUGCCCCUGUUCGAGAUAACACCUACAUGACGUCAAAACAUGAAACACUAGGGCCCAUAGCUGUAAGAAACUCUUAUAAUGCAACAAAAAAUGGUUCCAAUCUUCCUCAUACUCCUUGCACAUGAACCACCACCUCAUCAUUAUCGUCUCCAUCUCUCAAAUUUUCAAAUGUAAGAAAUGCUUCACAUGCUAAAUACAAAGUGAAAAUGCAACUCCUCAGCAUCUUUGCAUUCUCUUUCCUACUAACCAAAGGCAAAAAAACGACUCUUCAAUUACAUAGACUCCAGAAUAUGAGGCUACUAAGAGCACAAAUAUCUUCACUCUCAACAUGUCCUCUAGAUUGUCCAAGUCCAUAUCCACAAAUUGACUGGAUGCUGCAACUAUUUACAUGCAUCACAAAUGAAGAGAGAUUCCAGCCAAUCUGACAACCCUAGAUCAGCGUCUCUUUUUUUCUCCAGAAACCAUGCACCUCAUUCUAUGCGACCACCAGGUUACCGGUGAAAAUGCAUGGGGCAGCCAACGGAAACAAAGAUUUGGCUAUUUAGCAAUUUCUCUAAAAGAUUUUCCAGUCAUAAUUUUAUGUUACCCUCUUCAUACCAGUUCUUCUAUGGAUUUCUAUCCUUCCCAAACAUCAACCACAACUUAUCAAGAAUAUAUCUAUUCAUAAAGGAUCGUCAGUGCAAUACUCUUUCCUUUUAGUCAGUCCCAUCUGUUCUAUGUGUUCCUCUCUAUCAUGCACUUGCUCUUUCAAAAUGGUUGCCGCAACACAUUUAAGAACAAUGCUGGUGUAUUCUUUCGUACAUGUCUCAAUCCCUUAAUAGUUCUUCAUAGAGUUUACAUUUCAUAAUCACAAUGGCUGCUACAAUACACUUAAGAACAGUUUGGUGUACUCUUUCAUACAUGUCUCAAUCCUCAAGAGUUCUUGUUCAGUCACAUUAUAGAAUUAUCAGUUAGAAUUUUUUAUUUUAUUUUUAUGGCAAGGUUAACACUUUGUUACCUGUUGAAGGUGAUCCAUUGUUCUCAGCGGCCUGGAAAAUUCAAAAUAAUAUGUACCGGAUUGGUUGCUGGACGAAUAUGGGCUGUCAUCCUUAAUAAAACCUGUUUCAAUAGUAUUAGAUGUUGGAACAAAGGUAGUAAAUGACAAGAGUUUUAAGACACAAUAACUAUCAAACAAUAAUAAAGAUUUUGCUACAUAGGCUUCCUAAAAUAUUUUCUUGACAAGUCAAAAGCCUCCGCAAUGAGAAGCCACAAUGGUCCAACAUAGAGGUACAGAACACAACCAAGGCCACUGCCUGCAACACAAGAUUAUCUUCCUUUAAUCUCUUUUUUUUUUUUUUUUGAUGGCAAGGGAAACCCGCAGCCGUUACCCUUUGGGUGCGCACAGGGUAAAACCCCCGCUCCUAUGCAAUAGCUCGCAAACCACAUAGGAGAGGUAACCCGCACUAGGCAAGCCCGGUCCGACGAGCUCGACACAGAAGGCAGACCCCUUGCUUUCGCUGGCAAGGGGUUUCGAACUUGAGACCUCCUACAUGGAAGUCCCAAGCCCAAACCACUGGGCCACCCCUAAGGGUUUAUCAGUUAGAAAUUAGCCUUAGGGCUUAUUAAGACACAGUCAAUUUUUCACUUCAACUUAAGUUGCUAGUUCUAACAACUUACCAAGUAAGAAAAGAAUAUUUCCCUCAUAAGAUUUCACCAUUUUUCCAAGUGAAAUGCAUGUCCAACAUCAUUUCAAUUUCCAAAUACCCUUUCUUAUCGUACCGGCAUGACCCCACUGAUUUGUUUUCGAUCAGAGCAUCAAGCAUGCAACCCAGUUCUACUUGACUAAACCUAUGCUCCUCCAAGGAGAGAGUUUGCUUUACCCAACUCCAUUUUUGAUAACAAGGCAGUUCCUCCCGAUAAAAUAGAAGGACAGCUGGUGUUGAAGCUCCGCUCUCCUUUGUAUAUCAGGAAGGAAAGGGCGUUCUAGUUCCGGAACCAGAACGGGGCACGGAGUGGGCGCAACCUCGAGCUAGGAAAUGUGUAGUUGUGCUUACAGGCUUGGAACUCUGAUGAAUGAAGUAAGAAUUUCGGGCUAGGGCUUAAGAAUUAACAUCUAGGUGCUUGUCUAGUUCCCGGUGAGACCGUUGACUUUGCGACAUCCCGAGGUUACCGCCUUCUUUGCUUGAAGCUCAUGUAUUCUUCCUUCACUCACAUAUGAAAUUGAAGCAAACUUAACUUCAAAUAUCAUCAAAUUAACCACACGCCUAUUACAACAACAUAUCCCAUGUAAUCCCACAAGUGCGGCCUGGGGAUGGGAAGAUGCCCACAUGCCAACUAAAUCAUUAAAUUCUCAACAUCAUCUCAGGUAGAUUUAAGCCCACAGUAAAUAGAACCACCUUCAAAGAUUUGGUCUUGCACCUCUAUAUAGUAAAAAAAUUUAUCUGAAAUUGUUGGUUAUAUCUAUCCUAUGCCUUCCUAAUACUUCUAGACCUUACUUUUAACCACUCAUAUGGUGAUGCCCAAUCAACCACAACCUACAUCCCCAUAUUUAUCUUUCCAUUCUAACACAAAAUAAGGACCACCCUGCAAGAUGAAAUUUAAACUUGACAUGCAUAGAUAAUACCAGUUACUUGCAAAGAAGUUGUUUUUUAUGGCAAAAGACUCCUAGUAAAUAUUUAUACUAAUGCACGUACUGAACCUCGCAAAAAAUAGAAGCUAGUAACUUUUUGUGAUUAUACCGGGUAUGUCGUUGUUGUGAUAUGUUAAUUGCUACUUCUUUUUUUUAUCAUUUUCUAUAUUUGUUGUAUGUGGUUUUAUCUUUUAUGUUAGUUAUCAACAUUUUUCAAUAUAUUAUUUUGGGUAAUUAUGGUCUCCGGAUCAGCUUGCGCACCACUCAAUUAAUUCCUACCUACCACCACUACUAGUAACUCUAUCCACCAAGGCUAGAACAUAUGGAAAGAAAUCACCUAGUGUUUUAUCCCUGUUGGGAUUUGAACCUGAGACCUCGUGGUGCUCAACCCACUUCAUUGACCACUAGACCACACCCUUAAUCAACAUUUUUCAAAUAUUCGGCUAAGAUCCUCAUAUUUAAAUAUCAAUACAAGCUCCUCUCAUGCAGAGGGUGCUAAGUGCUUUCCGCGCCUAUAUAAGUGGUAGCCAAAUAUAUAGGACUAAGAAGAAAGAUAUAAGGUUUAAUCAGUCAAUAAGCAUCGGUAUUUACUGAACAAAUGCACUCAAGAAAUGUAAAUCCAACAUUAAGCAUCUUAAGAAAACGACUACCU